This 553-nucleotide ribosomal RNA is filed under the name uncultured archaeon. RNAcentral's name for it is "bacterial SSU rRNA". It matches the Rfam family "Archaeal small subunit ribosomal RNA", at positions 347 to 900 of the family's 1478-position model. The record is from RNAcentral.
ACUUUGCAAUGUGCGAAAGCACGACAAGGUUAAUCCGAGUGGUUUCUGCUAAAGAAACCUUUUGUCAGUCCUAGAAACACUAACGAAUAAGGGGUGGGCAAGUUCUGGUGUCAGCCGCCGCGGUAAAACCAGCACCUCAAGUGGUCAGGAUGAUUAUUGGGCCUAAAGCAUCCGUAGCACGUUUUGUAAGUUUUCGGUUAAAUCCAUGCGCUUAACGUAUGGGCUGCCGGGAAUACUGCAUAACUAGGAAGUGGGAGAGGUAGACGGUACUCGGUAGGAAGGGGUAAAAUCCUUUGAUCUAUUGAUGACCACCUGUGGCGAAGGCGGUCUACCAGAACACGUUCGACGGUGAGGGAUGAAAGCUGGGGGAGCAAACCGGAUUAGAUACCCGGGUAGUCCCAGCUGUAAACUAUGCAAACUCAGUGAUGCAUUGGCUUGUGGCCAAUGCAGUGCUGCAGGGAAGCCGUUAAGUUUGCCGCCUGGGAAGUACGUACGCAAGUAUGAAACUUAAAGGAAUUGGCGGGGGAGCACAGGAAUUGGCGGGGGAGCACUG